Molecule: long non-coding RNA, 2063 nt
Organism: Astatotilapia calliptera (eastern happy)
Lineage: Eukaryota; Metazoa; Chordata; Actinopteri; Cichliformes; Cichlidae
Source: Ensembl
AAAUAACCAAUGAUUUAUAAAGAAAAAUCAUGAAAAUUAACAAGAGUGCCCAAACUUUUGCAUAUCACUGUAUUACACAUUAUACAUGUAAACCAAAAUAAAAUCUAUUACAAUAUAAGAAAUUGACACUUUUGAUACUCACUCUCAUCUGCCUUACACCUCCAUACAUGCUGGUAAAAAACUACAACGAUGUGGCAUGUUUGAAGGCCUGCAGACAACUGCUAAGUGAAGAUUUGUAUGAAGGAGUGUCAAAUAGGUGCUCAUUGUUUUCAUACUGAUCUAGGUCAGCAGUCCCUAACCCCCUGGCCACGGACCGGUACCGGUUCGUGAGUCGUUUGAUACCAGGCUGCGAGAGCUGAGGCUCAGGUGUGAAAUUUAUAGUUUUCAGGGUUUUAUCAUUUUUUUAUCGUUAUUUUUUUAUUGUUUUCAUCAUUAACUGUUUCCCUGGGUCUUUUCCCGUGUGUUAUAAAUAAAAUUUUCUUUUUUUUGGUACCGGCACUGGUUUUAUUUUGUUGUAUUUAUCUGUGGCACCUUAAAGGCCGGUCCGUGAAGUAUUGUAAACCAGUCCGUGGUGCAAAAAAGGUUGGGAACUGCUGAUCUAGGUAGUUUCUAAUAGUUAGAAAUAAGUGAUUUCUGUUUGGGUACCAUAGCUAAAACAAUGGGGUUUGGACUGCUUGAAUGACAUCUGUGUUAACUGACUCUCACUGUCAAUCCAGUGAGAAAUGGUUAACACAUUUCCAAGAUGUGUCUUUUGCUCUGCUGAGAUAGUGAUGAUGAAAACUAAGUGGGUUCCAGUUUCUUUAAGCAGCUCAAAGCAAUCAAGAAAAACUGUUAUGCUAAUUUAAAAACAAUUUAUUUGAACAGGUGUGCACAAGUCUUAACCCUCUCAGGCUCAAAUUAAACUUUUUGUUGCUAAUUCACAACCAAGUCCUGCAGUGGUACUUCUGAGUAAAAAAAGACUCAUCAGGUUGUCCACACACUGGCAAGCGAAAGCAAAGCCGACCAAAGACCACAUGGCGUCGAACAUUCAUGGACGAUCUGAGAACUGUCGACAUUGCCUGGGACGAAGCUGAAGCAGUCGCUGCUGACGGACAUCGAUGGAGAUCACUAGCUGCAGGAGUGCUGCUCUCUUUUUUUCUCUUUUUUUCCUUUUUCUAUUUUAAAAUAAAGCAGCGACAUCUUGAAUAGUGUGCUUUUUUAAAUUUAUUGUUUUUAUGCUCAUUUGACUCCAAACUAUUAGAGCUUACUUUGCUGUUUCAACCAAUGGUUUUAAAUGGCCUAAAUGGUUUUACAGUCACGCCUAGUUGGAAUUGUUUCCACCAUUCCUGUCAGGGGCUGGGUCUGUGAAUUUUGAGUUCAUUGUGGGGGUUUUUGAGAGUUCUUAUAUUAUAUUGAUUAAAUGCUUAGUUUUUGUGUUGCCAUUAUUAGUUAGGGUUUAGUUGAGUUUUAUUCUAGUUUAGGUUUUAUGUCCCCUUCUGUGAGUCUGUUCUUGUCUUUUGUUUUAGUUGUCAUGGCUAUAACUCGUCAUGUUUACUGUUUAUUUUGAAAGUUUCCAUGUUCCAUGUGUUUUUGUUUUACUUUCCCUGUGGUGUCAUGAUGUUCAUUUGUGCCAGCUAUUUCCUCAUGUGUUUCCACUUCUCCUGAUCACCUCCUGUGUGUAUUUAGUCUGUCUGUUUUCAUCCUGUCAGGUUUGUCUGUGUAUAUUUCCUGGACAUCACGUCAGAUUUAUGGAUUUUCAUGAUUCUCAGGUCAUGUUAAUGUUUUCACUUCAGAGUUCCUUGCAUGUACCUGGUCAGGAUUAUGUUCAUGUCACAUUAGUCAUAGUCGUUGCAGUUAUCAUAGUUAGUUUUUCCAGAUUAGGUUUUAGUUUUAGUUUACUCAUUCAUGUUCACCUUGCUUUAUUCCUGCAUUCUUGUUAUCAGCCCUAAUAAAGGCUCACCCUUAGUUUAAAGUUCAGCACCGUCUGCUCCUGUGUUCUGCUUUUGGGUCUAUCCCACUAAUACACCAGUGUACCCCAUAGUGACAGUUCCAGUCAUUUUUGUGUUGUGCAAUUGAUUUCUGAC